GCCGGGGUUUCUUUACCAGGUACUGUCAUUAUCAUCCCUGGCGAAAGAGCUUUACGACCCUAAGGCCUUCUUCACUCACGCGGCAUGGCUAGAUCAGGCUUUCGCCCAUUGUCUAAGAUUCCCC
RNAcentral lists this ribosomal RNA (124 nucleotides) under uncultured bacterium. RNAcentral's name for it is "partial 16S ribosomal RNA". The record is from RNAcentral.